This 440-nucleotide ribosomal RNA is filed under the name uncultured bacterium. RNAcentral describes it as "partial 16S ribosomal RNA". It matches the Rfam family "Bacterial small subunit ribosomal RNA", at positions 338 to 795 of the family's 1533-position model. The record is from RNAcentral.
CCUACGGGCGGCAGCAGUAGGGAAUAUUGCUCAAUGGGGGAAACCCUGAAGCAGCAACGCCGCGUGGAGGAUGAAGGUUUUCGGAUUGUUAACUCCUUUUGUUAGAGAAGAUAAUGACUGUAUCUAACGAAUAAGCACCGGCUAACUCCGUGCCAGCAGCCGCGGGAAUACGGCGGGUGCAAGCGUUACUCGGAAUCACUGGGCGUAAAGAGCGCGUAGGCGGGAUAGCAAGUCAGAUGUGAAAUCCUAUGGCUUAACCAUAGAACUGCAGUUGAAACUGUUAUUCUAGAGUAUGGGAGAGGUAGGUGGAAUUCUUGGUGUAGGGGUAAAAUCCGUAGAGAUCAAGCGGAAUACUCAUUGCGAAGGCGACCUGCCAGAACAUAACUGACGCUGAUGCGCGAAAGCGUGGGGAGCAAACAGGAUUAGAUACCCCAGUAGUC